RNAcentral lists this ribosomal RNA (497 nucleotides) under uncultured bacterium. Its description in RNAcentral is "partial 16S ribosomal RNA". It matches the Rfam family "Bacterial small subunit ribosomal RNA", at positions 28 to 507 of the family's 1533-position model. The record is from RNAcentral.
GAUGAACGCUGGCGGCGUGCCUAAUACAUGCCAGUCGAGCGAACAGACGAGGAGCUUGCUCCUCUGACGUUAGCGGCGGACGGGUGAGUAACACGUGGAUAACCUACCUAUAAGACUGGGAUAACUUCGGGAAACCGGAGCUAAUACCGGAUAAUAUAUUGAACCGCAUGGUUCAAUAGUGAAAGACGGUUUUGCUGUCUCUUAUAGCUGGAUCCGCGCUGCAUUAGCUAGUUGGUAAGGUAACGGCUUACCAAGGCGACGAUGCGUAGCCGACCUGAGAGGGUGAUCGGCCACACGGGAACUGAGACACGGUCCAGACUCCUACGGGAGGCAGCAGUAGGGAAUCUUCCGCAAUGGGCGAAAGCCUGACGGAGCAACGCCGCGUGAGUGAUGAAGGUCUUCGGAUCGUAAAACUCUGUUAUUAGGGAAGAACAAAUGUGUAAGUAACUAUGCACGUCUUGACGGUACCUAAUCAGAAAGCCACGGCUAACUACGUG